AUGAACGCUGGCGGCGUGCCUAAUACCUGCAAGUCGAGCGAACGGACGAGAAGCUUGCUUCUCUGAUGUUAGCGGCGGACGGGUGAGUAACCCGUGGAUAACCUACCUAUAAGACUGGGAUAACUUCGGGAAACCGGAGCUAAUACCGGAUAAUAUUUUGAACCGCAUGGUUCAAAAGUGAAAGACGGUCUUGCUGUCACUUAUAGAUGGAUCCGCGCUGCAUUAGCUAGUUGGUAAGGUAACGGCUUACCAAGGCAACGAUGCAUAGCCGACCUGAGAGGGUGAUCGGCCACACUGGAACUGAGACACGGUCCAGACUCCUACGGGAGGCAGCAGUAGGGAAUCUUCCGCAAUGGGCGAAAGCCUGACGGAGCAACGCCGCGUGAGUGAUGAAGGUCUUCGGAUCGUAAAACUCUGUUAUUAGGGAAGAACAAAUGUGUAAGUAACUAUGCACGUCUUGACGGUACCUAAUCAGAAAGCCACGGCUAACUACGUG
This 496-nucleotide ribosomal RNA is filed under the name uncultured bacterium. Its description in RNAcentral is "partial 16S ribosomal RNA". It matches the Rfam family "Bacterial small subunit ribosomal RNA", at positions 29 to 507 of the family's 1533-position model. The record is from RNAcentral.